This 527-nucleotide long non-coding RNA is filed under the name Brassica napus (rape). RNAcentral describes it as "long non-coding RNA (BNAP_LNC007430)". Lineage: Eukaryota; Viridiplantae; Streptophyta; Magnoliopsida; Brassicales; Brassicaceae. The record is from RNAcentral.
CUCUGUCACGGUUCAAGACUAAAAUCAAAGUCUAUGAUUUGGAAAGUUCACACGUACACGUGUUAGAGAUAGAUUGCAUCCCUUUACAAUAUAGCGCAUCUUUCAACAAAGUCCAUUAAUGAAUAAGAGAGUUCGGUCCAUGAGCUCGGCCCAAGAGUUGGCCCGAAAGCUUAGCCCAAAAGCUUGCCUCGAGAGCUCAUAAGGAGACGAACGAUCAUGAUAGUCUCGCCGAGCAAACCGCCGUCAUCAGGCCCCUAUCUGGCGAGCGGUCAUGCGACGAUUAGAAGACAACUCUUCACACAGAAAACCCUACGACUGGUGGCGGAGAGUUGACGACAAGUCAACAAAUCGCCUAUCUCCAUAUCUCGAUGCAAGUCAUUAACUACCAAAGAACGGGCUUGGCCCCAUAGAUUAAGCGCAUCUUCGCCACAACCCUAAUGUUCCCUUUGUCGAAGAGGAUCACUGACAUCAAAAUCCGUCAAACAUACAAACUUCGCAUCCUAUCCUAUUCCGACGACAUAUAUCCC